UGGUUAAGCGUCUGCCUUCAGCUCAGGUCAUGAUCCUGGAGUCCCGGGAUCGAGUCCCGCAUCGGGCUCCCUGCUCGGCGGGGAGUCUGCUUCUCCCUCUGACCCUCCUCCCUCUCAUGCUCUCUGUCUCUCAUUCUCUCUCAAGUAAAUGAAUAAAAUCUAAAAAAAAAAAAGAGAGAAAGAAAGGAAGGAAGAAAGGAAAGAAAGAAAAGGAAAGAAAGAAAAGAAAAGAGAGAAGAGAAAGGAAAGAAAGGAAGGAAGGAAGGAGGAAGAAAGAAAGAAAGAAAGAAAAAGAAAGAAAGAAAAAGUGGUAACUUAAGGAGAGAUUUUACCUACAACCGCCCGCCCCACCUGCAGUUUCACUAUCCGCAGUUUUGUCAAAGGCAGCUGGGAAGCGGAUGAUCCUCCUUCUGACGAAUCUGCAGAAAGUCAAUAGUGGCCUAACCUUACCUCAAGAUGCUACGUCAUUCUCCUCGCUUCAUCUCAUCACGUAGGCGUUCUAUCCUGUCGCGUCGCCCCAAGAAGGGCUCUACACCCAGUGUGGAUCCCAAUGUGGGGCUUGAACUCACGACCCUGAGAUUGAGGCCUGAGCUGAGAUCAAGACACUUAACUGACUGAGCUACCCAGGUGCCACAAAAAUGUGGCUGCGCUGUCCACUGCUGCCCCCCUUUCGAGCUGGGGAUUUCUCUCUCCUGCCCAGCCUCUCCAGCACUGUGGAGCUCAGAUCAUUUCCAGCUCUCAUCUGCAUUCAUCUCAAUGUGAAAUCUAUGUAUUCUGUUGGUCAUUGCAUCUACAAAGAAGAAGUCAGUGUAAUCUUAGAGUUUGGGUGUUUGUCAUUUCUUCCUGCAAGAUGACUUCACAUUCACACGUAAGUCAGGGGGACAAGGAUAACCUGUCACAUCCUUGAGGUUUAUUAACUUUUAGUACUGAGUGGAGAGUGGGAGGAAAUUUUAAUUGGAGUUGCUCUGAAAAGGGGGUGGGGACAAACGCUUUUUGUCUGUGAUCCUUCAGAACCAUCUGGAAUACACAUGAGAUUCGUUUUCUGCCAUUGUCUCUCCAA
This is a long non-coding RNA of Mirounga angustirostris (Northern elephant seal), 1060 nucleotides long. RefSeq lists it as uncharacterized. NCBI's taxonomy places the organism in Eukaryota, Metazoa, Chordata, Mammalia, Carnivora, Phocidae. The transcript is spliced from 3 exons. The record is from RefSeq and is a predicted model, not a curated record.